Daphnia magna is the source of this 45-nucleotide non-coding RNA. NCBI's taxonomy places the organism in Eukaryota, Metazoa, Arthropoda, Branchiopoda, Diplostraca, Daphniidae. The record is from Rfam.
GAAUCGGCCCUUUUAAGGGCCACAAAUUGCUUUAAGGAGAAAAGG